Molecule: long non-coding RNA, 2131 nt
Filed under: Phoenix dactylifera (date palm)
Lineage: Eukaryota; Viridiplantae; Streptophyta; Magnoliopsida; Arecales; Arecaceae
Description: long non-coding RNA (PDAC_LNC008727)
Source: RNAcentral
CUCGGCCUAUGAUCCAGGGAGCAGGACUCCUAUGAAUCGGCCGGUACAGUUCAAUCAGAGCUUCUUGUGCUUUUAAGACCAUCCCAUAUGGGUUUUGAAAUUCUUCUUAAAGCUUGUUUGAAUGAUUGGGCUAAAAAUUCUGUCAAAUUCAUAGAUUGAACCAGUAUAACCAAGAAAAUCAUAAGUUUACUAACAGGGCUACACCUAUAUUUAUAAAUACUCAGAAGUGGCUUUGGGGCAGCCUGCUUUGCAUCCUUUUCCCAAGUUAUUUAUUUUUUUAUUAUUUUUUUGUGACAAUAGCUCGUUUCGUUUGGCUCUUCCCGAAUCCCGAUACGGAUAUCAGACGGCUACGAACCGGAUAGGCUAUCUUCGUGCGGUUGCCGUCGCCGUCGCCGUCUGGUCCUAUUUUGAUCGACCCUUGGAUUCGGCGUUGUCCCCUUCGUCGCUUCGCCAAGAACCAACGACCGAUACCAAGAAAAACAGAGCAAAAGAGGAUUUAGACCUGAAGAAUCUUGCACGCUCUAUGGUGCGGGAGAUGGGUUGCAACGUUUCGGCGCUGCUGCUGCUCUUCUUCAACUUUCUAAUUCCCACCUCCGCAGGUAAAUCCCCAUUUCUCUCACACUCUUAUCCAUCUUAGGUUUUGCAAUUAGGGUUUUACUUGGAGCUCCUGUAGGUUUCUUUCUUUUCUUUUCUUUUCUUUUUCCUCUCUGCGAUUUAGGGCUUGGAGGACGACGUUACAUUCGAUUCCAGAUGAUUUUGUGGUAGAUAUGUUGUGCUGUAGUGCUUGAUUUCUCAAUAACUGUUGAAAAGUUCGGAUCCGAAUGUUUUUCGAAAACUCCUGCUUCUCGGGAAUUUAUCGCUUGCAAGAAUUCAUUGGUAUCCAUCGAUAGGUUGGUGUUUUGUCUAAUUAAUUGUAGUUGCAUUAUUGUCCUUGAUUGAUGAGUCUUGAUGGCUAAAACCACGGGUGAAGAGCGAUUUAUGAGCACGAAAUAUCGAAUGGUAUGAUCUUGAUUAGUUAAAACCAAAGAUAUAUUCGCCUUCUUCAGCUUGUUGGUAUCGGUUAUUGGAGCAAGCACUUCAGCCCGAAAUUUGAAUUGUUGAGUGGGUGGUAUUCAUUAGGAGAAUGAGUUUUGGUGUCUUCAAUGUGACUCAUGGGGUGGGUGGUAUUGUUUGUUUUUUCUUUUCUUUUCUUUUCUAUUUUGUGUAAAAUGGAGAGGUAAACAAUUCGCCUCCCUGGCUUUAUUGAAAAAUGAAUGAACAGAGACAAAGGCAAGUUACGGCAUUAGUUGGUGGAUGAUAAGGAAUUACACAACAAACUAAGAGUCUUUAAUUGGAGACUGAGGAGGUUGUGCUGCAGUGGUAUUGGUUAUUAGAGCUCCUGAGGCUUCACUUUGUGUCAUGAAGUGGGUGGCUAUCUCACUUUUAGAUGUUACUAUGUUAGGAAGAUAAGGGUUGCAUUGAGGGAUCGGGUGGAAGAGACUGCAUGAGAAGGCUUGCUAGGUUGGGUUUAAUAGUGUGAGAAAGAGAGCUCAUUAAACCAUCUAGCUGAACUGGCAUGUGAUCUACUGUGGAGUCAUCUGGUGUAGAUGUUGGAUGAGGAGCAUGGUGGAGUUGGUGGACUACCCAGAUCAUAGAUAAUUGAUACUUAACUAUUACAAAACUUGAACGUUCUAUUUCAGGUUUCAACUUGUACCUCAACUUGUGUUGAAUUCCAUUGUGUAGGAGUCUCAUGCUGUGGAAUUGCCAAACGAAUGGCUAUCGAUAUUUUGAUUCCAUCUCCUAAGGUAGUCAUCUCCACCAACGAAUAUUGGUUCGUGGACUAUAAAUGAGCACCAGUGAUGAGGAAGACAGGAACCCAUGGAGGGAGCAGGGAAGUUUUGCUGAGAUCUCGGGAUACCCAAGUGUUGCUGUCCUAAGACAGUUGCCUAUUCCUUAGGUUUGCAAAGGUAGUUGGAGCAGGUGGCCUCUAGGUUAUAAAUUGCUUUAAAAGGAGAACCAUUUCAACUGAGAAGCUGAAUAUGACUUAUGUUAACAUAAUUAUAAACAGCAAGCUUGCACAAGCUAUUUUCUGUUGGAAUUAUAGAUCUUAUCAACCGAGGAAAGUAUCCUUCUCUAAGAUGAGAAUAAAUCU